This 259-nucleotide ribosomal RNA is filed under the name uncultured bacterium. RNAcentral describes it as "partial 16S ribosomal RNA". It matches the Rfam family "Bacterial small subunit ribosomal RNA", at positions 793 to 1055 of the family's 1533-position model. The record is from RNAcentral.
GUCCACGCCGUAAACGAUGAUUACUCGAUGUGUGCGAUAUACCGUACGCGUCUAAGCGAAAGCAUUAAGUAAUCCACCUGGGGAGUACGUCGGCAACGAUGAAACUCAAAGGAAUUGACGGGGGCCCGCACAAGCGGAGGAACAUGUGGUUUAAUUCGAUGAUACGCGAGGAACCUUACCUGGGUUUGAACGUAAGUUGACUGUCCGUGAAAGCGGAUUUCCCUUCGGGGCAAUUUACGAGGUGCUGCAUGGUUGUCGU